RNAcentral lists this transfer RNA (68 nucleotides) under Marmota monax (woodchuck). RNAcentral's name for it is "tRNA.Ala". The record is from RNAcentral. Lineage: Eukaryota; Metazoa; Chordata; Mammalia; Rodentia; Sciuridae.
GGUGUAACUCAGUGGUAGAGCAUUUGCCUAGCAUGUGUGAGACCCUGGGUUCAAUCCUCAGAACACCA